UGCUACUAGAGCCUGGGCCUGUUGCGCAUUAGCUAGUUNGUGGGGUAACGGCCCACCAAGGCGACGAUCGUAUCCGACCUGAGAGGGUGAACGGCCACACUGGGACUGAUACACGGCCCAAACUCCUACGGGAGGCAGCAGUAUGGAAUCUUCCGCAAUGGGCGAANGCCUGACGGAGCAACNCCGCAGUGAGUGAUGAAGUUUUCGGAUCGUAAAGCUCUGUUGCCGAGGGAAGAACGUCCGGUAGAGUAACUGUCUACACGGAGUGACGCGUACCUGAGAAGAAGACGCCCCGCGUCGUAAUCUACGUGCCACGCAGACCGCGGUAAUAUCGCUAUCGUGGUGCAAUGCGUUGUCCGGAAUUAUUGAGGCUGUAAAGCGCGCUGCAGGCUGCUGUUUAAUUCUGGCUGUUUAAACCUGGGUCUCAACCUGNGCGCUCGCACUGGCACAUAUCUGGGAUGGCUUGAUUACGAAGCACAGGAGCGACAACGCUGGGACAGUUCCCACGGUGUANNGGGGUUAACAUGCGGUANACGAAUGGUGGUAGUCGAACACCCACGUGGCGAAGUGCGACUUUCUUGGUGCUGGUAACGUGACAAGCUCAGAGCGGCUGAAAAGCGUUGGGUGGUAUGCGAAUACCGCGAUUUAUAUACCCCUNNCUAGUCCACGCCCGUAGACGAAUAAAGUNCUACGGUUGUUCAGGGGUUUCUNCCUUCCCUUUUGUGUCCGAAAGUUUAACCCGAGGUAAAGCACUCCNCCUGGGGGAAGUAACGGUCGGAAGACCUGACACUCCCAGGGGAACCUUGACGGGGACCGGUUAAGCCCGUGGAGGUUUAUGGUUAAAUUUAAGGCAACGGGAAGAACCUUACCAGGUCUUGAAUNCACGAACGAAGGCNGAGCAUCCUUUGUUCCCUCGGGGAAAGUAUGAAACAG
RNAcentral lists this ribosomal RNA (933 nucleotides) under Paenibacillus sp. SLS_R4. RNAcentral describes it as "bacterial SSU rRNA". It matches the Rfam family "Bacterial small subunit ribosomal RNA", at positions 213 to 1037 of the family's 1533-position model. Lineage: Bacteria; Bacillati; Bacillota; Bacilli; Caryophanales; Paenibacillaceae. The record is from RNAcentral.